RNAcentral lists this RNase P RNA (371 nucleotides) under Lamprobacter modestohalophilus. RNAcentral describes it as "Bacterial RNase P class A". It matches the Rfam family "Bacterial RNase P class A". From Rfam's summary of the family: Ribonuclease P (RNase P) is a ubiquitous endoribonuclease, found in archaea, bacteria and eukarya as well as chloroplasts and mitochondria. Its best characterised activity is the generation of mature 5'-ends of tRNAs by cleaving the 5'-leader elements of precursor-tRNAs. RNAcentral also lists the same sequence under 1 other name. Lineage: Bacteria; Pseudomonadati; Pseudomonadota; Gammaproteobacteria; Chromatiales; Chromatiaceae. The record is from Rfam by way of RNAcentral.
GGAGUCGGCUGGACAGUCGCGGCUUGGCGCAUGCGUCAGGCGGAGGAAAGUCCGGGCUCAACAGGGCAGGGUGCCAGGUAACGCCUGGGGGGCGAGAGCCUACGGAAAGUGCCGCAGAAAACAAACCGCCAACCCCGCGCGAGCGGGCGGUAAGGGUGAAAAGGUGCGGUAAGAGCGCACCGCGUCCGUGGCAACACGCGACGGCAGGGUAAACCCCACCCGGAGCAAGACCAAAUAGGGGAGCGAGCAGCUUUGGCUGCGACAUGCGGCCCGCAUGGGCUCCCGGGUAGGUCGCUUGAGGCGCGGGGUGACCCGCGUCCCAGAUGAAUGACUGUCCACGACAGAACCCGGCUUACAGGCCGGCUCCCUAC